Molecule: ribosomal RNA, 574 nt
Filed under: uncultured Aspergillus
Lineage: Eukaryota; Fungi; Ascomycota; Eurotiomycetes; Eurotiales; Aspergillaceae
Description: eukaryotic LSU rRNA
Rfam family: 5.8S ribosomal RNA (bases 194-346)
Source: RNAcentral
AUCAUUACCGAGUGCGGGUCCUUUGGGCCCAACCUCCCAUCCGUGUCUAUUGUACCCUGUUGCUUCGGCGGGCCCGCCGCUUGUCGGCCGCCGGGGGGGCGCCUCUGCCCCCCGGGCCCGUGCCCGCCGGAGACCCCAACACGAACACUGUCUGAAAGCGUGCAGUCUGAGUUGAUUGAAUGCAAUCAGUUAAAACUUUCAACAACGGAUCUCUUGGUUCCGGCAUCGAUGAAGAACGCAGCGAAAUGCGAUACGUAAUGUGAAUUGCAAAUUCAGUGAAUCAUCGAGUCUUUGAACGCACAUUGCGCCCCCUGGUAUUCCGGGGGGCAUGCCUGUCCGAGCGUCAUUGCUGUCCUCAAGCACGGCUUGUGUGUUGGGCCCCGUCCUCCGAUCCCGGGGGACGGGCCCGAAAGGCAGCGGCGGCACCAUGUCUGGUCCUCGAGCGUAUGGGGCUUUGUCACCCGCUCCCGUAGGUCCAGCUGGCAGCUAGCCCCGCAACCAAUCUUUUUAACCAGGUUGACCUCGGAUCAGGUAGGGAUACCCGCUGAACUUAAGCAUAUCAAUAAGCGGAGGA